GUGAACUGAUAAUUUGAUAAGUGGAAUGAUAGGGUAACGCCUUGAAACGCUUACACUUGAUGGGCAUGCAUUUUCUGUAAAGGAAUUUGUGUGAAGCCCCGUGACAAAGGCUGAGAGUAACCGUAAUAGCUUGCCAAAAGCUAUCGAAAACGGUCCAGAGGUGGACUGUGUUGCCUAUAGGUCGAGUGUCUAUAAA
This is a non-coding RNA of Clostridium sp. C105KSO13, 196 nucleotides long. NCBI's taxonomy places the organism in Bacteria, Bacillati, Bacillota, Clostridia, Eubacteriales, Clostridiaceae. The record is from Rfam.